GGAGGAGGCAGAAAUGGUCUUCAUGGCAAGCUUCUGACCACAGGGGCUUGCUCUCCUGGUAGAUGUCACAAGGGUGCCUCCAGAGAAGAAGAUCCUUGCCUAUUUUAUUCCAUUUUCUUACACCUUUCAUUACCCAGACCCCACAGGAGUAUGAGAUUACUGCGACAUCCCUCUCAGCUCAGCUAUUUCCGAGGUGCAUGUUACCUCAGGUCCACAUUUCACGGAGCCAUCCCAGGAGCAGAAACACCACCGAAGAUGCCAUGGAGGGAACACUCAAAUAGAAACUGUUUCCUACAACUUUGUUCCCAACAUUCUCAUGUCACUUUCUUCUCGGAGCCCCGCAAGUAUCCCUGGAUCCUUUCGCCCUCUCCAGCUCCCUCCUGCUACGAAACCACCCCCUUUUUUACACCCCUUUACCCCAUGGGUUAGGCAAACAGAAGCUGAUUCACAACAGGCAUGUUGAUUCCCUUGCCAGUGGGGUGAGAGGCUGUUUCACCGGCCUUUCCACCUCCUCAUGUGAAAAAUGAGUUAUGAUACGGAGUUCACAUGCUCUGAGGCUGUUUGCUGCUGGGUCACCUGUGGUUAGCAAAUGGAUUCAGAAGUUAUUCAGGGGUGAGCCCUCAAAGGCAGAGACGGUCAGAGAGGGGCAGGCGGGGGGAAUGCCUAAUCUCUGAUUUCCUUAGGAAACCAGUUUAAAGGUGACUUUGCAUCUACGUAAGUACUUUGGUUUUCCAAAGAGCUAUGUUCCUGGGAGACUUUGGCCCAAGGUGCUAAAAAAUGCUGACCUCUGCAACCAACCAGAAAGAAGAUACUGGAAGUCCUGGGGUAUCACCACCUGCCUUUGCCCUUAAUUAUGUAUUUUACAUCACCUAUUCCUUGAUACAGGGUCAUUAAGAGUAAAGGAAAUCUGGAGAAAGUGCUCAUUUACAUUAAUGCAGACUUCUCACACUGUAGUUUGGCUACUUGAUGUGUGUCAUGUUUAGAUAUCUCACAGGACUCUUUAGAGGCUCAGUAAGCAUUAGCUACGAAUUCCAUUUCAGCUUCUUUCCCCGCCACAGUGGAGCUGGCAAGAGAAAACUACCAGUUGGAGGAAACUGGAUAAAUGAGCAGCACAAAAGCAACCCAACACAUGCAGCAGAGGAGCCUGAAGUCUGUUUGCUCUGAGAAUUUUAAAUGUGGCAACACUGACAGCAUUAAGCGGGGUUUAACACCUCAUGACCUUGCAUACAGCCAUGCAGACACCGCCUACCCCGAGAGCCUGCAGACCACAGUUACCCCGUCAACCCCUCAUCAGGAGACACAGGACCCCAUCCUCAGGACACACCUGGGACUGCUUCACGAUGGCAGAGCCUUUCACAGCUCAUCCUACACAUUCCAUACGUGCAACAUGCACGCGCACACACAUACCAACUCCCUUCCCACUGAAGCAAGCGGGGCCCUUGAGCCCUAAGAGCUCCGGGUGAGCUGAUGCAGUGCUGGCAUGGGUGACCUCCAGCCAAACAGACUGCUGGUGGCAGGGAGGAGGAAUUCACAGCAGGACACCCUUCUCUCCCACUUAACUGUAGUUGAUCCAAGGACAUUUGCAGCAGAAAGGUGCGCCCGGCAUAGGAAUGUUUGUGCUUGCAAGGAAUUACAGUUAUUUUCUAAUUCUGGAAGAAUUUGUGAAGAGCCAGCACAUAAAGCGCCACCUCACUCCUGGUAUGCUAGCUUCAGACUAAUGCCUCCUUCAGGAAGCAAAAUGACAAUUGCUUCUGGGAUAUACUGGCAGAGCCUAACUGGCGUAAUUAAUACCAGCCAGCACACUUUAUGGAAUAAACAUUUUAUUUCAAUGAGAUUACUGCGUUGACUUGAUACACUUAAAUUUUCCAAGGUGUUUUACCUUGCAGUCUGUUGUAAGAUCUUGCAUUAUGGAAGUUUUAAUAGGAUAGACAUGUUAUGAAUAAACACUCUCCCCAGUGACAGGUCUUCCGAGUUCUGUGGUUGCUAAUGAGAUCAUGAGAAAUGUGUGGGUCUGUUUUACCAACACCCCCAAGAUGCAGUCCUUGCUGCAAUACUGUUUCGUUUGACUGCCCGCUAUCUAGACAACAAUGCCAAACCUCUGCAGGCAAACUCAGCGGAUGACUCACAGGCUAUAGGGUAGUAAAACCUAAGGAGGAUGGGUCAUCCUUACAGAAUGAUCUGAAAUGUCUGGUUAAUUGUCACAAGACAACAAAAAUGCAUUUUUGUAGAAGUAAAAACUGGGUACUGUCUCUGGGGAGAGAGCGUUAAGUCAUACCAUCAGGGUGGGACGCUGACCUGUGCCUCCUUAUAGAUAAUCUGUGUCUGUCGCCACUCCAAGGAGCUUGAAAGACAAAGAUAAGCAAAGCAGGCUCGUUAGUAACGGAGAGCUACCUAAAAAAGGUGCUGAGGGAGAAUGGGAGCCACUGUGACUGAGACAAAGCUCAGCCCAGACACUGACACAUGGAAAAGGCGUCAGAUGCCAGCCGAAGCGGCAGACAGUGGAAACUAGGCAAUUCUUAAAAUACAGGCUCUAAGUCUGUGUGUUGCCAGCUAUAAAUACUGGCCUAUUUUACCCUGGAAUUCUGAAAAACCCCACAAAUAUCCUUUCUCCCCCGUUCUUCUCCCAGUUUUUCAACAAGCUUUUAGUGCUUGAGUUCAGGUAGGGGAAGCAGAGAGGACAUUAACACCAGCCAGGACUUGAUGCUGAGAAGAAACAUGCCCUCAUUACACUUUGAAAGGU
Long non-coding RNA from Egretta garzetta (little egret), 2740 nucleotides. RefSeq lists it as uncharacterized. NCBI's taxonomy places the organism in Eukaryota, Metazoa, Chordata, Aves, Pelecaniformes, Ardeidae. The transcript is spliced from 3 exons. The record is from RefSeq and is a predicted model, not a curated record.